Molecule: transfer RNA, 72 nt
Filed under: Chloroflexota bacterium
Lineage: Bacteria; Bacillati; Chloroflexota
Also listed under: 1 other name
Description: Chloroflexi bacterium (Noosa River metagenome) tRNA-Met
Rfam family: tRNA
About the family: Transfer RNA (tRNA) molecules are approximately 80 nucleotides in length. Their secondary structure includes four short double-helical elements and three loops (D, anti-codon, and T loops). Further hydrogen bonds mediate the characteristic L-shaped molecular structure. tRNAs have two regions of fundamental functional importance: the anti-codon, which is responsible for specific mRNA codon recognition, and the 3' end, to which the tRNAs corresponding amino acid is attached (by aminoacyl-tRNA synthetases). tRNAs cope with the degeneracy of the genetic code in two manners: having more than one tRNA (with a specific anti-codon) for a particular amino acid; and 'wobble' base-pairing, i.e. permitting non-standard base-pairing at the 3rd anti-codon position.
Source: RNAcentral
GGCGCCGUAGCUCAGAGGCAGAGCAAGGGACUCAUAAGCCCUGGGUCGGUGGUUCGAGUCCACCCGGCGCCA